CCUACGGGAGGCAGCAGUGGGGAAUAUUGCACAAUGGGCGAAAGCCUGACGCAGCAACGCCGCGUGAAGGAUGAAGGUCUUCGGAUCGUAAACCUCUAUCAGCAGGGACGAACGGUAACUGUGCUACUCAACAAUAAGUUGACGGUACCUGCAAAGGAAGCGCCGGCUAACUACGUGCCAGCAGCCGCGGUAAUGCGGAGGGUGCGAGCGUUAAUCGGAAUUACUGGGUGUAAAGCGCGCGUAGGCGGUAUGGCAAGUCACGUGUGAAAUCCCUGGGCUUAACGUGGGAACUGCAUUUGAAACUGGCAAACUAGAGUGCGGGAGAGGAGAGUGGAAUUCCAGGUGUAGGGGUGAAAUGCGUAGAUAUUUGGAGGAACACCAGUGGCGAAGGCGACUAUCUGG
RNAcentral lists this ribosomal RNA (402 nucleotides) under uncultured bacterium. RNAcentral's name for it is "partial 16S ribosomal RNA". It matches the Rfam family "Bacterial small subunit ribosomal RNA", at positions 338 to 732 of the family's 1533-position model. The record is from RNAcentral.